RNAcentral lists this ribosomal RNA (499 nucleotides) under Mycobacterium sp. enrichment culture clone 318. RNAcentral's name for it is "bacterial SSU rRNA". It matches the Rfam family "Bacterial small subunit ribosomal RNA", at positions 170 to 667 of the family's 1533-position model. Lineage: Bacteria; Bacillati; Actinomycetota; Actinomycetes; Mycobacteriales; Mycobacteriaceae. The record is from RNAcentral.
CGGAUAGGACCACGGGAUGCAUGUCUUGUGGUGGAAAGCGCUUUAGCGGUGUGGGAUGAGCCCGCGGCCUAUCAGCUUGUUGGUGGGGUGACGGCCUACCAAGGCGACGACGGGUAGCCGGCCUGAGAGGGUGUCCGGCCACACUGGGACUGAGAUACGGCCCAGACUCCUACGGGAGGCAGCAGUGGGGAAUAUUGCACAAUGGGCGCAAGCCUGAUGCAGCGACGCCGCGUGGGGGAUGACGGCCUUCGGGUUGUAAACCUCUUUCACCAUCGACGAAGGUCCGGGUUCUCUCGGAUUGACGGUAGGUGGAGAAGAAGCACCGGCCAACUACGUGCCAGCAGCCGCGGUAAUACGUAGGGUGCGAGCGUUGUCCGGAAUUACUGGGCGUAAAGAGCUCGUAGGUGGUUUGUCGCGUUGUUCGUGAAAUCUCACGGCUUAACUGUGAGCGUGCGGGCGAUACGGGCAGACUAGAGUACUGCAGGGAAAAACCUGGAAA